This 253-nucleotide ribosomal RNA is filed under the name uncultured bacterium. Its description in RNAcentral is "partial 16S ribosomal RNA". It matches the Rfam family "Bacterial small subunit ribosomal RNA", at positions 524 to 776 of the family's 1533-position model. The record is from RNAcentral.
UACGUAGGGGGCAAGCGUUGUCCGGAAUCAUUGGGCGUAAAGCGCGUGUAGGCGGUUCGGUAAGUCUGCUGUGAAAGUCCAGGGCUCAACCCUGGGAUGCCGGUGGAUACUGUCGGACUAGAGUACGGAAGAGGCGAGUGGAAUUCCCGGUGUAGCGGUGAAAUGCGCAGAUAUCAGGAGGAACACCGGUGGCGAAGGCGGGUCUCUGGGCAGUAACUGACGCUGAGAAGCGAAAGCGUGGGGAGCGAACAGG